RNAcentral lists this ribosomal RNA (233 nucleotides) under uncultured bacterium. RNAcentral's name for it is "partial 16S ribosomal RNA". It matches the Rfam family "Bacterial small subunit ribosomal RNA", at positions 794 to 1025 of the family's 1533-position model. The record is from RNAcentral.
UCCACGCCGUAAACGAUGAGAACUAGAUGUCGGGGGGGAUUUGCCCCUCAGUGUCGCAGCUAACGCAUUAAGUUCUCCGCCUGGGGAGUACGCCGGCAACGGUAAAACUCAAAGGAAUUGACGGGGACCCGCACAAGCGGUGGAGCAUGUGGUUUAAUUCGAUGCAACGCGAAGAACCUUACCUGCCCUUGACAUUGAUGGAAUCCACCAGAGAUGGAGGAGUGCCUUCGGGC